This is a long non-coding RNA of Fukomys damarensis (Damara mole-rat), 869 nucleotides long. RefSeq lists it as uncharacterized. The transcript is spliced from 3 exons. The record is from RefSeq and is a predicted model, not a curated record. NCBI's taxonomy places the organism in Eukaryota, Metazoa, Chordata, Mammalia, Rodentia, Bathyergidae.
UGCCGGCCAGGCAAACUGCAGCAGCAACGGUCUGUGAGGACACCCAGCUGGCUGGAGCCAUCACGGGAGCGACUCGGAGGUCCCAGCUCUGGGUGUGUGCCCAGCUCUGGGGACGGACAGGAUCCUGAGCGUGUGACCGGAAGAGCCUUGACUCAGCCCGCAGAUGUCAUCGUUUGUCUCCAGCUUCGUCACAGCAGCUGAUGUGCACUGAACACUCCCUGGCUCGAGCCGCGCUCUCCGCACGCAGAAGGUGUUGGAUUAGAUCAGUGAUCCUCAACUAGGAGCACUUCUGCCCCACCCAGGGGACAUGCAGCAUUGUCUGGAAGUGUGUUGGAAGCCACAACCAGAGGUCCUCCUGGCUAAACAUCCUACACCGCACGGAACAGAGCCAAGACAGCGAUCCUGCCCAACAUGUCAGCAGGCCUGCAGUUGAGAAGCCCUGGGGGGAAACUCAGGCCCAUCUCAAGUUGAAGGCACCAAGAUCACUGCCUGCCCUCAAUGGGUAGGACUGGGAAAAGUCUUCCUGCCACUGUCCCCGCUGCCUUCCUGGGUGAUCCAGUGAGAUUUAAUGGGAUUCCCUCAGAAGCCUCCUCUGAAAGCCUGCAGAGCGAGUGAGGAGCUUCUGGCCAAGCCUCAGGCACAGUCUGACCCUGGAAAGGAAGCACCCAUCCCUCCAGAGACGGCCUUGACCACGCACACGUGCCGCGGAGCUGGGCCCGUGCUCCUGAAGAACAGUCAGCAACACACUCCUCACUUCUCUCUAGUUUGCAUUUUUUCUUGUGAUUUUCCAAACCACACAGUUCUUGGGCAGCACAUUGAAGUGUUUAAAAAUGAGGCAAUAAAAAUAAAUCACUUGUUCUCGGAAGACA